RNAcentral lists this ribosomal RNA (427 nucleotides) under uncultured bacterium. RNAcentral describes it as "partial 16S ribosomal RNA". It matches the Rfam family "Bacterial small subunit ribosomal RNA", at positions 355 to 774 of the family's 1533-position model. The record is from RNAcentral.
UGGGGAAUAUUGCACAAUGGGCGCAAGCCUGAUGCAGCCAUGCCGCGUGUAUGAAGAAGGCCUUAGGGUUGUAAAGUACUUUCAGCGGGGAGGAAGGUGAUAAGGUUAAUACCCUUGUCAAUUGACGUUACCCGCAGAAGAAGCACCGGCUAACUCCGUGCCAGCAGCCGCGGUAAUACGGAGGGUGCAAGCGGUAAUCGGAAUUACUGGGCGUAAAGCGCACGCAGGCGGUCAAUUAAGUCAGAUGUGAAAGCCCCGAGCUUAACUUGGGAAUUGCAUCUGAAACUGGUUGGCUAGAGUCUUGUAGAGGGGGGUAGAAUUCCAUGUGUAGCGGUGAAAUGCGUAGAGAUGUGGAGGAAUACCGGUGGCGAAGGCGGCCCCCUGGACAAAGACUGACGCUCAGGUGCGAAAGCGUGGGGAGCAAACA